Molecule: ribosomal RNA, 405 nt
Filed under: uncultured bacterium
Lineage: Bacteria
Description: bacterial SSU rRNA
Rfam family: Bacterial small subunit ribosomal RNA
Source: RNAcentral
UGAGGAAUAUUGCGCAAUGGGCGAAAGCCUGACGCAGCAACGCCGCGUGGGUGAAGAAGGCCUUCGGGUUGUAAAGCCCUUUUCUGAGAGACGAGGAAGGACGGUAUCUCAGGAAUAAGCCUCGGCUAACUACGUGCCAGCAGCCGCGGUAAUACGUAGGAGGCGAGCGUUAUUCGGAUUUACUGGGCGUAAAGCGCGUGCAGGCGGUCAAGCAAGUCGGAUGUGAAAUCUCCUGGCUUAACUAGGAGGGGUCGUUCGAAACUGCUAGACUAGAGUAAGGGAGAGGAAAGCGGAAUUCCCGGUGUAGUGGUGGAAUGCGUAGAUAUCGGGAGGAACACCUGUGGCGAAAGCGGCUUUCUGGCCCUUGACUGACGCUGAGACGCGAAAGCGUGGGGAGCGAACAGG